RNAcentral lists this ribosomal RNA (501 nucleotides) under uncultured bacterium. RNAcentral's name for it is "bacterial SSU rRNA". It matches the Rfam family "Bacterial small subunit ribosomal RNA", at positions 29 to 523 of the family's 1533-position model. The record is from RNAcentral.
AUUGAACGCUGGCGGCAUGCCUUACACAUGCAAGUCGAACGGCAGCACGGGAGCAAUCCUGGUGGCGAGUGGCGAACGGGUGAGUAAUAUAUCGGAACGUGCCCAGUAGUGGGGGAUAACUGCUCGAAAGAGCAGCUAAUACCGCAUACGACCUGAGGGUGAAAGGGGGGGAUCGCAAGACCUCUCGCUAUUGGAGCGGCCGAUAUCAGAUUAGCUAGUUGGUGGGGUAAAGGCCUACCAAGGCAACGAUCUGUAGUUGGUCUGAGAGGACGACCAGCCACACUGGGACUGAGACACGGCCCAGACUCCUACGGGAGGCAGCAGUGGGGAAUUUUGGACAAUGGGCGCAAGCCUGAUCCAGCAAUGCCGCGUGCAGGAAGAAGGCCUCGGGUUGUAACUGCUUUGUCAGGGAAGAAAGUACCUCUAGGUUAAUACCCUUGGGGGAGUGACGGUACCUGAAGAAUAAGCACCGGCGUAACUACGUGCCAGCAGCCGCGGUAA